GACGAACGCUGGCGGCGUGCCUAAUACAUGCAAGUAGAACGCUGAAGAGAGGAGCUUGCUCUUCUUGGAUGAGUUGCGAACGGGUGAGUAACGCGUAGGUAACCUGCCUUGUAGCGGGGGAUAACUAUUGGAAACGAUAGCUAAUACCGCAUAACAAUGGAUGACCCAUGUCAUUUAUUUGAAAGGGGCAAAUGCUCCACUACAAGAUGGACCUGCGUUGUAUUAGCUAGUAGGUGAGGUAACGGCUCACCUAGGCGACGAUACAUAGCCGACCUGAGAGGGUGAUCGGCCACACUGGGACUGAGACACGGCCCAGACUCCUACGGGAGGCAGCAGUAGGGAAUCUUCGGCAAUGGGGGCAACCCUGACCGAGCAACGCCGCGUGAGUGAAGAAGGUUUUCGGAUCGUAAAGCUCUGUUGUAAGUCAAGAACGAGUGUGAGAGUGGAAAGUUCACACUGAGACGGUAGCUUACCAGAAAGGGACGGCUAACUACGUG
This 497-nucleotide ribosomal RNA is filed under the name uncultured bacterium. RNAcentral describes it as "partial 16S ribosomal RNA". It matches the Rfam family "Bacterial small subunit ribosomal RNA", at positions 28 to 507 of the family's 1533-position model. The record is from RNAcentral.